RNAcentral lists this ribosomal RNA (593 nucleotides) under Thiomicrorhabdus marina. Its description in RNAcentral is "bacterial SSU rRNA". It matches the Rfam family "Bacterial small subunit ribosomal RNA", at positions 1 to 581 of the family's 1533-position model. Lineage: Bacteria; Pseudomonadati; Pseudomonadota; Gammaproteobacteria; Thiotrichales; Piscirickettsiaceae. The record is from RNAcentral.
AAACUGAAGAGUUUGAUCCUGGCUCAGAAUGAACGCUGGCGGCAGGCCUAACACAUGCAAGUCGGACGGUAACAGAGAGAAGCUUGCUUCUCUGCUGACGAGUGGCGGACGGGUGAGUAAUGCUUAGGAAUCUACCCUUUAGUUGGGGACAACGUAUGGAAACGUACGCUAAUACCGAAUAUGCUCUACGGAGUAAAGGUGGCCUCUACUUGUAAGCUAUCGCUAAAGGAUGAGCCUAAGUGAGAUUAGUUAGUUGGUAAGGUAAUGGCUUACCAAGACCGCGAUCUCUAGCUGGUUUGAGAGGAUGAUCAGCCACACUGGGACUGAGACACGGCCCAGACUCCUACGGGAGGCAGCAGUGGGGAAUAUUGCACAAUGAGGGAAACCUUGAUGCAGCCAUGCCGCGUGUGUGAAGAAGGCCCGAGGGUUGUAAAGCACUUUCAAUUGUGAGGAAGGUAGUGUAGUUAAUACCUGCAUUACUUGACGUUAACUUUAGAAGAAGCACCGGCUAACUCUGUGCCAGCAGCCGCGGUAAUACAGAGGGUGCAAGCGUUAUUCGGAAUUACUGGGCGUAAAGCGCGCGUAGGCGGAUU